CCCUAGUAACGGCGAGUGAACAGGCUAGAGCCCAGCACCAAAGCCACUUGCCGUUUCUGUAAGUUGCAAUGUGGCGUAUGGGAAGGACUGYUUCGGGGAUUGGCUGYGAGCUCAAGUCCCCCUGACUGGGGCCAUCACCCGUGGAGGGUGCCAGGCCCGUGUGGCUUGCUGGCUGUCUCCGUUUGGUUCUCUCCCGAGAGUCGGGUUGCUUGAGAGUGCAGCCCUAAGUGGGUGGUAAACUCCACCUAAGGCUAAAUACUGACC
This 264-nucleotide ribosomal RNA is filed under the name Polyxenus lagurus (bristly millipede). RNAcentral's name for it is "partial 28S ribosomal RNA". It matches the Rfam family "Eukaryotic large subunit ribosomal RNA", at positions 78 to 328 of the family's 3401-position model. Lineage: Eukaryota; Metazoa; Arthropoda; Diplopoda; Polyxenida; Polyxenidae. The record is from RNAcentral.